Molecule: small RNA, 759 nt
Filed under: Pongo abelii (Sumatran orangutan)
Lineage: Eukaryota; Metazoa; Chordata; Mammalia; Primates; Hominidae
Description: processed transcript
Source: RNAcentral
CUAUGUUACAACCUCAUCUAGCGGGGCUCAUUCUAGUACAAUUAAAUAAUGGUUGUGUAAACACUGGGGUCUGUCUGGGGAUAGGGUGCAGGGAGGGAGAGUAUUAGAAAGGAUGGCUAAUGCAUGCUGGGCUUAAUACCUAGGUGAUGGGUUGACAGGUGCAGUAAACCACUAUGGCACACAUUUACCUAUGUAACCUGCACAUCCUGCACAUGUACCCCAUACCUAAAAAGAAUAAUUUAAAAAAAAGACUUGAGAGAAAAAAAUAAUAAUAAUGGUUGUGAAAACACUUUGAAAGUAUAAUCAUACCAAACAAAUGUGAGAUUGCACCAUUUUACUAUUAUUUUCUUAAGCGACUUUCCUUUAACUGUAUACUUUCCUAUUUUCUCUUCCCAUAUGUGUUAUUUAACUCGUCAAUAGUAUCUUGAGUUUAUUUUGAAGUUACUAUAUUAUAUCCUCCAUUAAUUUUGGUAUGAAAAAUAACAACUAUGCAAGAAUGGUCUGAUUAGUAAUUUCUCAUUUCAGUAUGACAAAGAGAUUAUUGUCAUCAACACAGCAGUGGCCUGUUCCAAUAAUUCAAGAAAUGGAAUAUUUGAUUUGCCAAUAAGUCCUGGAGAAGAAUUGGAAGUUAUUGAUACCACCGAACAAAAUCUAGUGAUAUGUCGUAAUUCUAAAGGCAAAUAUGGAUAUGUGCUCAUUGAACAUCUAGAUUUCAAGCAUCAAAGUUGGUCACCUUAGAAAGAUCAAGAUCAAAUGCUA